GGGGUUGUGGCUCAGUAGUAGAGUGCUUGCCUAGCAUGCAUGAGGCACUGGGUUCGAUCCUCAGCACCA
This 69-nucleotide transfer RNA is filed under the name Ictidomys tridecemlineatus (thirteen-lined ground squirrel). Its description in RNAcentral is "Spermophilus tridecemlineatus (thirteen-lined ground squirrel) tRNA". It matches the Rfam family "tRNA". Rfam says of the family: Transfer RNA (tRNA) molecules are approximately 80 nucleotides in length. Their secondary structure includes four short double-helical elements and three loops (D, anti-codon, and T loops). Lineage: Eukaryota; Metazoa; Chordata; Mammalia; Rodentia; Sciuridae. RNAcentral also lists the same sequence under 1 other name. The record is from Rfam by way of RNAcentral.